This 271-nucleotide ribosomal RNA is filed under the name uncultured bacterium. RNAcentral describes it as "partial 16S ribosomal RNA". It matches the Rfam family "Bacterial small subunit ribosomal RNA", at positions 524 to 794 of the family's 1533-position model. The record is from RNAcentral.
UACGUAGGGUGCAAGCGUUGUCCGGAAUUAUUGGGCGUAAAGAGCUCGUAGGCGGUCUGUCGCGUCGGCUGUGAAAACCCGGGGCUCAACCCCGGGCUGUCAUUCGAUACUGCCCGGCUCGAGGCAGGUAGGGGAGAUUGGAAUUCCCGGUGUAGCGGUGAAAUGCGCAGAUAUCGGGAGGAACACCGGUGGCGAAGGCGGAUCUCUGGGCCUGUCCUGACGCUCAUGCGCGAAAGCUGGGGGAGCGAACGGGAUUAGAAACCCCAGUAGU